ACUUUUCUAUGAAGUGAAGUUUU
RNAcentral lists this small nuclear RNA (23 nucleotides) under Arabidopsis thaliana (thale cress). RNAcentral's name for it is "snRNA_01238". The record is from RNAcentral. Lineage: Eukaryota; Viridiplantae; Streptophyta; Magnoliopsida; Brassicales; Brassicaceae.